This 254-nucleotide ribosomal RNA is filed under the name uncultured bacterium. RNAcentral's name for it is "partial 16S ribosomal RNA". It matches the Rfam family "Bacterial small subunit ribosomal RNA", at positions 524 to 776 of the family's 1533-position model. The record is from RNAcentral.
UACGUAGGGUGCGAGCGUUGUCCGGAAUUAUUGGGCGUAAAGGGCUCGUAGGCGGUUUGUCGCGUCGGGAGUGAAAAAUCCAGGGCUUAACUCUGGACUGGCUUUCGAUACGGGCAGACUAGAGGUAUGCAGGGGAGAACGGAAUUCCUGGUGUAGCGGUGAAAUGCGCAGAUAUCAGGAGGAACACCGGUGGCGAAGGCGGGUCUCUGGGCCGAUACUGACGCUGAGACGCGAAAGCGUGGGGAGCAAACAGG